CCUAAAGUGAAUUUUUAAAAUCCAGAAGGUAACUCAGUUAUUAUAUGACGCUGCAAUUUCAGUGCUGGGCUCCAGACAAUUCUAGAAAAAUAAGUCUUGCACUGUCAAAAAAUAGCGCAGAAUUCCAUCCACAAAAUGCAAAGAUGGAGAACUGUAAACAGCAAGUGCGGGAGGUUGUUGGUGGUCACUACUUCCUUUCCCAGGGACACGCAUGGAACUAAGAGGGACAACUUUAUUCUGUCAAACUUUCUUUCCACAUAGAUUCACUUUAAUGAAAAACGGAAUAUGAUGCACCGUAUUUAUUGUAAGUAAAUUUAUUCAUUUACUGUAAGUAUGGUUACCAUGUCACAAUGAUUUUCCUCUGAGACUUGUUUUUGGAGAAACAAUUUUU
Molecule: long non-coding RNA, 391 nt
Filed under: Calidris pugnax (ruff)
Lineage: Eukaryota; Metazoa; Chordata; Aves; Charadriiformes; Scolopacidae
Description: lncRNA (ENSCPUG00000010352.1)
Source: RNAcentral